UACAGGGGGUGCAAACGUUGCUCGGAAUCAUUGGGCGUAAAGCGCACGUAGGCGGUUCGUUAUGUCGGAUGUGAAAGCCCACGGCUUAACCGUGGAAGUGCAUGGGAAACUGCUGAGCUUGAGUACUUAAGAGGAUCGCGGAAUUCCCGGUGUAGAGGUGAAAUUCGUAGAUAUCGGGAGGAACACCAGUGGCGAAAGCGGCUCACUGGACCACUACUGACGCUGAUGCGCGAAAGCUAGGGGAGCAAACAGG
RNAcentral lists this ribosomal RNA (253 nucleotides) under uncultured bacterium. RNAcentral describes it as "partial 16S ribosomal RNA". It matches the Rfam family "Bacterial small subunit ribosomal RNA", at positions 524 to 776 of the family's 1533-position model. The record is from RNAcentral.